CAGCCAGUUUUGUAUGCUAUUAGUCAGUGAUUUUGGGUCCCGGUGCCAUCCGAACGUUUCGGGAACCCCGGGGUCCGGUUAAGGGGAAAUCAUGAAAACUCGCAGUUUUGGCCUAUUCUGGCCAGUUUUGUAUGCUAUUACUCUCUGAUUUUGGUUGCCGCUGCGAUCCAAACAUUUCGGGAACCCCGGGGUCCGGUUACGGGGAACUCGUCAAAACUCGCAGUUUUGGUCUAUUGUGGCCAGUUUUGUAUGCUAUUACCCACUGAUUUUGGGUCCCGCUGUGAACCGAACGUUUCGGGAACCCCGGGGUCCGAUUACGUGGAACUCAUUAAAACUCACAGUUUAGGCCUAUUCCCCCCAGUUUUGUAUGCUAUUACUCACUGAUUUUGGGUCCCGCUGCGAUACGAAUGUUUCAGGAACCCCGGGGUCCGGUUACGUGGAACUUGUCAAAACACGCAGUUUUGGGUUAUUCUGCCGAGUUUUGUAAGCUAUUACUCAAUGAUUUUGGUUCCCGCUGCGAUCCAAACAUUUUGGGAUCCCCGGGGUCAGGUUAAUGGGAAAUCAUGAAAACUCGCUGUUUUGGCCUAUUCUGGCCUGUUUUGUAUGGUAUUACUCACUGAUUUUGGUUGCCGCUACGAUACGAAUGUUUUGGGAACCCCGGUAUCCGGUUACGGGGAACUCGUCAAAACUCGCAGUUUUGGCUUAUUCUGCCGAGUUUUGUAAGAAUUACUCACUCAUAUUGGGUCCCGCUACAAUCCGAACGUUUUGGGUACCCCGGGGUCCAGUUACGGGGAACUCGUGAAAACUCGCAGUUUUGGCCUAUUCCGGCCAGUUUUGUAUGCUAUUAGUCACCGAUUUUGGGUCCCAAAGCCAUCCGAACGUUUUGGGAACCCCGGGGUCCGGUGAAGGGGAAAUCAUGAAAACUCGCAGUUUUGGCCUAUUCCGGCCAGUUUUGUGUGCUAUUACUCAAUGAUUUUGGUUCCUGCUGCGAUACGAAUGUUUCGGGAACCCCGGGGUCCGGUUACGGGGAACUCUUCAAAGCUCGCAGUUUUAGCUUAUUCUGCCGUGUUUUGUAAGAUAUUACUCACUGAUUUUGGGUCCGCUGCGAUCCGAACGUUUUGGGAACCCCGGGGUCCAGUUAUGGGAACUCGUCAAAACUCGCAGUUUUGCCCUAUUCCAGCCAGUUUUAUAUGCUAUUACUCAAUGAUUUUGGUUCCUGCUGCGAUACGAAUGUUUCGGGAACCCCGGGGUCCGGUUACGGGGAACUCUUCAAAACUCGCAGUUUUGGUCUAUUGUGGCUAGUUUUGUAUGCUAUUACUCACUGAUUUUGGUUGCCGCUGCGAUCCAAACAUUUCGGGAACCCCGGGGUCCGGUUACGGGGAACUCGUCAAAACUCGCAGUUUUGGUCUAUUGUGGCUAGUUUUGUAUGCUAUUACUCACUGAUUUUGGGCCCCGCUGUGAACCGAACGUUUCGGGAACCCCGGGGUCCGAUUACGUGGAACUCAUUAAAACUCACAGUUUN
RNAcentral lists this long non-coding RNA (1522 nucleotides) under Hordeum vulgare. Its description in RNAcentral is "long non-coding RNA (HVUL_LNC021729)". The record is from RNAcentral. Lineage: Eukaryota; Viridiplantae; Streptophyta; Magnoliopsida; Poales; Poaceae.